GGUUCUAUGGUGUAAUGGUUAGCACUCUGGACUUUGAAUCCAGUGAUCCGAGUUCAAAUCUCGGUAGAAAAUGUCU
Molecule: non-coding RNA, 76 nt
Organism: Salmo salar (Atlantic salmon)
Lineage: Eukaryota; Metazoa; Chordata; Actinopteri; Salmoniformes; Salmonidae
Source: the annotation of a RefSeq genome assembly